This 253-nucleotide ribosomal RNA is filed under the name uncultured bacterium. RNAcentral's name for it is "partial 16S ribosomal RNA". It matches the Rfam family "Bacterial small subunit ribosomal RNA", at positions 524 to 776 of the family's 1533-position model. The record is from RNAcentral.
UACGUAGGGGGCGGGCGUUAAUCGGAAUUACUGGGCGUAAAGCGUGCGCAGGCGGCUCCUUAAGUCAGAUGUGAAAUCCCCGGGCUUAACCUGGGAACUGCGUUUGAAACUGGAGAGCUGGAGUGUGGAAGAGGGGGGUGGAAUUCCAGGUGUAGCAGUGAAAUGCGUGGAGAUCUGGAGGAACACCGAUGGCGAAGGCAGCCCCCUGGGCUAACCCUGACGCUCAUGCACGAAAGCGUGGGUAGCAAACAGG